UCUAUUUAAAUCUUAAGCAUUAAAGCUUAUACAUAACGAGUCGGGUAACCGACUACGGCAAUAAACUGAUAUAUGGAAUAAACGUAUCGGACCC
This 94-nucleotide transfer-messenger RNA is filed under the name Kordiimonadaceae bacterium. RNAcentral's name for it is "partial transfer-messenger RNA". It matches the Rfam family "Alphaproteobacteria transfer-messenger RNA", at positions 1 to 93 of the family's 355-position model. Rfam says of the family: Bacterial tmRNA, also known as 10Sa RNA or SsrA, is named for its dual tRNA and mRNA-like properties. The record is from RNAcentral. Lineage: Bacteria; Pseudomonadati; Pseudomonadota; Alphaproteobacteria; Kordiimonadales; Kordiimonadaceae.